Long non-coding RNA from Oncorhynchus tshawytscha (Chinook salmon), 332 nucleotides. RefSeq lists it as uncharacterized. The record is from RefSeq and is a predicted model, not a curated record. The transcript has 3 exons. Lineage: Eukaryota; Metazoa; Chordata; Actinopteri; Salmoniformes; Salmonidae.
GACAUAAUUGGUGCAUCAUGUUUGGGGGACAUAGUCAUAGCAUAUUGGUUUAAAAAGUACUGACAUAUACAAACCACAGACAUGUACAGAUUUACUUUAGUUCAUGUGUAAUAAUGACCAGACACUUGUAUCCUUACGCGUCAUUUCACCUUUCUUGGCACACUUGAACGUUGGGCCAGUAACCGAAAGGUCCCAAGUUCGAAUCCCACGAGCAGACAAGGUUUUGAACAGCGCCACAGAAGGGUGGAGAUUAGAGCCAGAGGAUUGAUUUGAGAUUUGAGUAAGGACCUGAGCCCUAGGACCAUGCCCCAGGACUACCUGACAUGAUGACU